GUUGGCUUGGAAGCAGCCAUUCAUUUAAAGAGUGCGUAACAGCUCACUAGUCGAGCGGUUCGGCAUGGAUAAUAAUCGGGCAUAAGCAUAUUACCGAAGCUAUGGAUUUGUGCGUAAGUACAACUGGUAGGAGAGCAUUCUAUCGGCGUAGAAGCUGAGUCGUGAGGCUUGGUGGAGCUUAUAGAAAAGAAAAUGUAGGCAUAAGUAACGAUAAAGCGGGCGAGAAACCCGCUCACCGAAAGACUAAGGUUUCCUCAGCCAUGCUAAUCAGCUGAGGGUUAGUCGGGGCCUAACGCGAACCCGAGAGGGGUAGUGGAUGGACAUAGGGUUAAUAUUCCCUAACUUGCUCACGAGGAAAGUGACGGUUCAAUGAGACUUAAGAAGACUGACGGAAUAGUUAAGACCUAGCCUACGGGCGAAGUUGAUUAAGAGCAGUUGGAUCCAAGAAAAGCGAGUGAAGCAACCCGUACCAUAAACCGACACAGGUAGUCGAGGAGAGAAUCCUAAGGUGCUCGAGUGAGUCGUGGCUAAGGAACUAGGCAAAAUAGUCUCGUAACUUCGGAAUAAGAGACGCCAACAGCGAUGUUGGCCGCAGUGAAGAGGCCCAGGCGACUGUUUAACAAAAACACAGGACUCUGCUAAAUCGAAAGAUGCUGUAUAGGGUCUGACACCUGCCCGGUGCUGGAAGGUUAAGGAAGGUGCUUAGCGUAAGCGAAGGCAUUGACUGAAGCCCCAGUAAACGGCGGCCGUAACUAUAACGGUCCUAAGGUAGCGAAAUUCCUUGUCGGGUAAGUUCCGACCUGCACGAAUGGUGUAACGAUCUGGGCACUGUCUCAGCCACGAGCUCGGUGAAAUUGUAGUAUCGGUGAAGAUGCCGAUUACCCGCAAUGGGACGAAAAGACCCUGUGAACCUUUACUAUAACUUCGUAUUGACUUUGAGUAAGUAAUGUGUAGGAUAGGUGGGAGGCUAUGAAGCUGGCACGCUAGUGUUGGUGGAGCCGUUGUUGAAAUACCACCCUUUGCUUACUUGGAGCCUAACUUCUGAAUAAGAGUAAGAAGGACAUUGCGUGGUGGGUAGUUUGACUGGGGUGGUCGCCUCCAAAAGAGUAACGGAGGCUUUCAAAGGUACCCUCAGCACGCUUGGUAACCGUGCGUAGAGUGUAAUGGCAUAAGGGUGCUUGACUGUGAGACCAACAAGUCGAUCAGGUGCGAAAGCAGGACAUAGUGAUCCGGUGGUUCCGAGUGGAAGGGCCAUCGCUCAUAGGAUAAAAGGUACUCCGGGGAUAACAGGCUAGUCUCCCCCAAGAGCUCACAUCGACGGGGAGGUUCGGCACCUCGAUGUCGGCUCGUCACAUCCUGGGGCUGGAGAAGGUCCCAAGGGUUG
RNAcentral lists this ribosomal RNA (1384 nucleotides) under human oral metagenome. RNAcentral describes it as "bacterial LSU rRNA". It matches the Rfam family "Bacterial large subunit ribosomal RNA", at positions 1100 to 2574 of the family's 2925-position model. The record is from RNAcentral.